This 464-nucleotide ribosomal RNA is filed under the name Vreelandella stevensii. RNAcentral's name for it is "partial 16S ribosomal RNA". It matches the Rfam family "Bacterial small subunit ribosomal RNA", at positions 338 to 794 of the family's 1533-position model. Lineage: Bacteria; Pseudomonadati; Pseudomonadota; Gammaproteobacteria; Oceanospirillales; Halomonadaceae. The record is from RNAcentral.
CCUACGGGUGGCUGCAGUGGGGAAUAUUGGACAAUGGGGGCAACCCUGAUCCAGCCAUGCCGCGUGUGUGAAGAAGGCCCUCGGGUUGUAAAGCACUUUCAGUGAGGAAGAACGCCUGGUGGUUAAUACCCAUCAGGAAAGACAUCACUCACAGAAGAAGCACCGGCUAACUCCGUGCCAGCAGCCGCGGUAAUACGGAGGGUGCGAGCGUUAAUCGGAAUUACUGGGCGUAAAGCGCGCGUAGGUGGCUUGAUAAGCCGGUUGUGAAAGCCCCGGGCUCAACCUGGGAACGGCAUCCGGAACUGUCAAGCUAGAGUGCAGGAGAGGAAGGUAGAAUUCCCGGUGUAGCGGUGAAAUGCGUAGAGAUCGGGAGGAAUACCAGUGGCGAAGGCGGCCUUCUGGACUGACACUGACACUGAGGUGCGAAAGCGUGGGUAGCAAACAGGAUUAGAUACCCGUGUAGC